This 496-nucleotide ribosomal RNA is filed under the name uncultured bacterium. RNAcentral describes it as "partial 16S ribosomal RNA". It matches the Rfam family "Bacterial small subunit ribosomal RNA", at positions 28 to 506 of the family's 1533-position model. The record is from RNAcentral.
GAUGAACGCUGGCGGCGUGCCUAAUACAUGCAAGUCGAGCGAACAGACGAGGAGCUUGCUCCUCUGACGUUAGCGGCGGACGGGUGAGUAACACGUGGAUAACCUACCUAUAAGACUGGGAUAACUUCGGGAAACCGGAGCUAAUACCGGAUAAUAUAUUGAACCGCAUGGUUCAAUAGUGAAAGACGGUUUUGCUGUCACUUAUAGAUGGAUCCGCGCCGCAUUAGCUAGUUGGUAAGGUAACGGCUUACCAAGGCAACGAUGCGUAGCCGACCUGAGAGGGUGAUCGGCCACACUGGAACUGAGACACGGUCCAGACUCCGACGGGAGGCAGCAGUAGGGAAUCUUCCGCAAUGGGCGAAAGCCUGACGGAGCAACGCCGCGUGAGUGAUGAAGGUCUGCGGAUCGUAAAACUCUGUUAUUAGGGAAGAACAAAUGUGUAAGUAACUAUGCACGUCUUGACGGUACCUAAUCAGAAAGCCACGGCUAACUACGU